UGGGGGCAGGGAGGGGACAUUUGUUUUAGGGAGUGCGGGGCGGAUCUUGGUAGAAUAGUAGAAUCAAGCUUGUUCUGUAUUUUAGGGUUAGUGGCCAAAAUUUGGCAAGAUCCAGAUCCAGGUUUUUAAUGUAGGGGUGCAUUGUGGUGCAUUGGCUUCUCUGGUCUUUCCGUGCAACAAGAACAACUAAGCGUGUUCCCUGUCUGUAAUUUACACGUUGGAGGGCCAAAACAUGGCAUGAUGUGGCAAGAUCCCAAGUGCCCAAUCUGGGUAUUUGCUGCUCUGUUGCGUCAGGAUGCGGCCCUGUCGAGACUGCUGUUGGUACAGGCAGAGUGCCUACACUUGUUCUGUACUUACGGGGUAGAAGUGCUGGGGGCACAUUUGCUGGAUCUAACAAGAUCCAGAUGGUGGAUCCGGGAUUUUGCAGGGCUGUUGUGACGGGAUGCCUCAGAGUGCGUGGGCGGGUGUGAAGUAGGAGAAAUUACGCAGAGGAAAAGGAGGGUCUGGAGCCAAAAAUGGUUUUAGGCUAGCAGGUAAGAGAGCCACGUGCAGCCUUGCACUAGAUGGAACUCACUCGCUGGAGGACCAGGCCAUGUGUAGAUGACUCAUUUCAACCCACUGACGCUAUGUGGAGCUACAGACAGGAAAACUUCACCCCUUAAAGCGGCAAGAGUGUAGAGCAGGAAUGCUCUAGCCAUCAAUGGCCAGAAGGAUAUUCAUUUGUGAGAAAAAUGGAAAACCAAAAUGUGGAAAAUGGGAGACACAUGAAGUUCCUGCCAGUUCUUUAGCACAGCUAUAGGUUCAAGUAUUCCUGCAAUUGUCUUCCAACAUCAAAUAAUUGGUUCAUGGACGCCCAUUAUUGCCUUCCAGCAUAAAAAUACUCCUAUCUAAUCUCUGUCUA
Long non-coding RNA from Mauremys reevesii (Reeves's turtle), 901 nucleotides. RefSeq lists it as uncharacterized. Lineage: Eukaryota; Metazoa; Chordata; Testudines; Geoemydidae. The record is from RefSeq and is a predicted model, not a curated record. The transcript has 3 exons.